UUUGUGUCUACCUUUAUGUCUACAUUUGUGUCUACCUUUAUGUCUACAUUUAUGUCUACCUUUAUGUCUAACUUUGUGUCUACUUUUUUGUCUUCCUUUUUCUUGGAUGAUACCUGAAAAGGAUAAAGCCAUAAACGCAACCAUAAACUCAUCUAACUCAGGAAUAAGCAGUAAGAAAACUUGCAUUAUUUGACUGGCUGAACAAAUUUGUGUGUGAUUUGAUUUGCGUCAUACUAUGAAACAAUGGUCAAUUGUAAAUUGCAUUUAUGAAAGGAGAACAAUUUGUGUAGAAUCACCGUCAUUUGUUUUGAGGAUUCCAAAAACGCAUAGUUAUCCGGUAAUUUGUAUAAAUAUGAAUAAUGACUGUAAAACAAUCAGGUGAAAAUAAUCCAUAAUAUUAACAUGCUUAAAGCGGCUUAAUUCGGUCUGUGAACAAAACUAUGAUUUAUUUUAACUGCUUUGACUUAUCAACUACUAGGUGUCAUGGCAAACAGUCAUUUUGUAUUUGUCAAGGCGACAAAUACAAAGUAAGAGUUUUGGAUAGUUGUGCAGAGCAAUAUCUAUUAAAUUGUAUUCCCAUAAACAGUGAAGAUUAUCAACAUCUGUGAAUGUAACUAAACAAAAAGGAAUCUACGACUUCGAAAAAGCUUGUCAAAAAAUGUUCUCACUAAGAACAGCUAAAGUCAAUGGUUAUUCCAGUGAUCCACGUUGGAGACUCUUGGUAAAAGUCGAUCAUUUGGCAUAAACAAAUUAAGAGCAAGUUGAAACAUUACCGAUAUAUGUGAGAAAUUACGGAUGAUGACAGACUACGCGAAGGAGAGGGAUCAAGUCAAGGUUUAUACAACAUGAACAACGAUGAAACAAAGCAAAAAUCAACAAAGCAAGCUGUACGGAAAGGGAAAAAACACAAAGUCAGCCACAGUCCACUUAACCACUUUUCCAGUUUUAGUUUGUUAUCAUGCAUUUAAGAAAUAUCUACGGUAUUCUUGAACAAUACAGCUCAACAUCCAUACAACGAAGCAGCCAACAUAUAGCUAUUAAUGUGUAAUAAUGAAAUUACAGAUACCAACUAAACUCGUGACAUCUACGUGAAGAUGCUCCUUCUGUUCAGCUCGCUCAUCAAUCAUCCAAAAAGACUCUUAGCUGCCUAAACCAAUACCAAGCAAGAAAUUUUCCAUUCUCAACUUCAAUAUUGUUUGAGUGACCGAAAGACGAAAAGAAAAUCCACAAGUGCCAUUUAUGAAAAUUUACCAACAACUUUUGAUAACAGCUGCUGAAAGAAAUGUGAAAAGCAAAACCAUUGUGAAAUAUGCUACAGAAGUACUUGCUUCGAUAUCAUGCGUAAAAAAAGAUCUCAAGUCUAAUGUACUCCUGUUGUGUGGUAAGACUACAUACGAUAAACAAAUCUCUUUUGCAACUAAAUGCGUUUUGAUUUAUCUCUAAUGUUCUUCUUAAAAUGUCAAUGGUUUAAAAGUUGAUGUUAACAAUGUAUAUUUACUUAAUACGAAUUAUAUUUUUUUAGUACUUUAAUUAAUACACUGUCUUAAAAUGA
Xenia sp. Carnegie-2017 is the source of this 1552-nucleotide long non-coding RNA. RefSeq lists it as uncharacterized. The record is from RefSeq and is a predicted model, not a curated record. The transcript has 2 exons. Lineage: Eukaryota; Metazoa; Cnidaria; Anthozoa; Malacalcyonacea; Xeniidae.